This 64-nucleotide non-coding RNA is filed under the name unclassified sequences. Its description in RNAcentral is "pemK RNA". It matches the Rfam family "pemK RNA". The record is from RNAcentral.
AUAAUGAUACUUCCGUAAUUCGCGGCCCGGUCACAAAGCAGACGGGGUGGCUGAAUGCCAAUGA